AUAUGACGGAAGGUUGGUCCAAUCAACUAUCAUUAUGGGAAUGUUGUCAAAAAAACCACACAGUUUGUUUGAAUCUAUGAUUACUUUCUUACUUGGUCGCCUAUUGUGGAGAAAAGGCUUGCCCCAAGGCGGCAUUUGCUUUGCUGCCACCCUCAAUUGCAUUUUUGCUUCUCGAGGAAAGAUUGCUAAAACAUAAGAAUAAAACAGUUGGAGAAGCAUUAUCAAUGGAUAAACACAGAAGCGGGACCACCGGGACUGGAUAACUUUAUAUAUAGCACGACCUUCCCAUUUCACAACACCUCAUGUGCAAAUCCAAUUAAUUAUCUUUUUCUCCUUUGCCAAUUCUCUUAAGCAUUCUAUAACAAGUAUAAUUUAUAGCCAACUGUUGACUUCAUCCCAUAAUGUUGCUGGGAUGCCUCUGUAUUCCAGAAUAUGCCCUUGUUGCUUGGGAAAUCGUCAACGUUAAGGGCACUCAAAAGUGGAAUUUAAUUCUUGUACUCAAUGAGAACCUCUUCCUUGUUGCGUAUAUCUAAAUCAGAAGCCUCAUGGAAGUUGUAUAUAUAACUCAUUUCUAACGGGCUCAUUUCAUUUGUCAAUUAUCCUUCUCUCAAUUGUUUUUCGGGUGAUGCUGGAGGAAGAAAAAUCGAACUGAUAAGCAAAGAACUGAGGAUGGAUGGUAGUGGAGGUUUUCUGAGAUGGUCUUCGUUUGCAUUUGUAAUGUUCGUGGGUAUGGCCACCGUUUUAGUUCCUGGAGCUCUUGGCUGGAGCAAGGAGGGUCACAUAAUGACAUGUCGGAUUGCAC
This 802-nucleotide unclassified non-coding RNA is filed under the name Hevea brasiliensis (rubber tree). Lineage: Eukaryota; Viridiplantae; Streptophyta; Magnoliopsida; Malpighiales; Euphorbiaceae. The record is from RNAcentral.